UACGGAGGGUGCAAGCGUUAUCCGGAUUCACUGGGUUUAAAGGGUGCGUAGGAGGGCAGGUAAGUCAGUGGUGAAAUCUUCGAGCUUAACUCGGAAACUGCCGUUGAUACUAUCUGUCUUGAAUCCCGUGGAGUUGAGCGGAAUAUGUCAUGUAGCGGUGAAAUGCUUAGAUAUGACAUAGAACACCAAUUGCGAAGGCAGCUCGUUACACGAAGAUUGACUCUGAGGCACGAAAGCGUGGGGAUCAAACAGG
This 253-nucleotide ribosomal RNA is filed under the name uncultured bacterium. RNAcentral describes it as "partial 16S ribosomal RNA". It matches the Rfam family "Bacterial small subunit ribosomal RNA", at positions 524 to 776 of the family's 1533-position model. The record is from RNAcentral.